Molecule: ribosomal RNA, 497 nt
Filed under: uncultured bacterium
Lineage: Bacteria
Description: partial 16S ribosomal RNA
Rfam family: Bacterial small subunit ribosomal RNA
Source: RNAcentral
GAUGAACGCUGGCGGCGUGCCUAAUACAUGCAAGUCGAGCGAACAGACGAGGAGCUUGCUCCUCUGACGUUAGCGGCGGACGGGUGAGUAACACGUGGAAAACCCACCUAUAAGACUGGGAUAACUACGGGAAACCGGAGCUAAUACCGGAGAAUAUAUUGAACCGCAUGGUGCAAUAGUGAAAGACGGUUUUGCUGUCACUUAUAGAUGCAUCCGCGCCGUAUUAGCUAGUUGGUAAGGUAACGGCCUACCAAGGCAACGAUGCGUAGCCGAACUGAGAGAGUGGUAGGCCACACUGGAACUGAGACACGGUCCAGGCUCCUACGGUAGGCAGCAGUAGGGAAUCUUCCGCAAUGGGCGGAAGCCUGACGGAGCAACGCCGCGUGAGUGAUGACAGUCUUCGGAUCGUAAAACUCUGUUAUUAGGGAAGAACAAAUGUGUAAGUAACUAUGCACGUCGUGACGGUACCUAAUCAGAAAGCCACGGCUAACUACGUG